UUCAAAUGAGUUGUGGUUGUCAUCUUUUCAUGUAUUCAAUUUAUUGCUUCCUUGAAUACGUGGUUUCAUACUGCAAGUAAUUGGCAACUUUUGUCAAAGAAUGACAACUUUUGAAAUUUUUGGGUUCAAAUACACUCCAAAAAUUGUGGCAUGUAGUGACACUUAUUUAGCCAUGAUUAUAUAAAUGUGGUAAACUAUUUUGCAAUUAGGCACAUUUUUUAUAAUUACGCACACUUAUUAAGUGUGAGAAUAAUAGUCUCUCAAUGAGGCUAAAGGUUAAUUAAAUAAUAUAAUAUAUGUAAUCAAUUAAGCCACAUUUAUAAGCGUGACUAAGUGUCAAUUAAUUAAAAAAAUGUGGCUAAAUGUCAAUUAAAUAAAACACAACUUUCUUGCUUGCAAUUUGCAAUAAAACCAAAAGCCAAUUUCCGUUUGCCUUUCCCAGUUUCAGAGUUUACUCAUUCAAUUCCCAACACCCUAAAACUAAGCCCUAUCCACUCCACCUGGCCACCCACGACGGAGAACGCCGUUCACAUCAACCAUGCAACCAUUAACUGCUGCACGCCUGCCGCCUACCGAUCACUGUUGUCUGCUGCUGGAAAGGUCAAAACUCAAACCCUAAAAUCGCAAAUCGCAACUGCAUGGCCAGUGGAUGUGUAGGAUUAGCAGACACGUAUGGCUCUGGCCAUUGUCUGUUGCUGGCCAUCGUUAGCUACUGCAAAGGUCGAAAUCUAUUGAUUCAAACAAGAAGCACUCGAAUGCCUCUGAUCCAGUAACCUUGUGGUGCUCAAGUAGCAUCCAACCCAAGUGAGUGUCUGGUAUUGUGUUAAUUAAUAAUCAUAAGAUACUCUUCAUGUAGUUAACAAAUCAAACUGCCAUUGUUGGACUUAUUUGAAGACAUCUUCAGUGUGUGGUACCUCCUAUCAUCUUUUACUUGUUCCUUCAAUUUCUUGUAUCAUUAACAAAAGAAAGGCUCUAUAAGGCUGGUUGAAGCAGUUUUGUCUGCUCGGUGAAAGCAGGAUUUAAUCAAAGUGAAAGGUAUAUAAAGGUUAUUUAUGCGGAAGGUGGAAGCAUGGUUUAAUCAAAAUAGCAUCAUCUUUUGUUGUCUGCCAUGAAAAUGACAAUGUUUAUGUUGGAACAUAUAACUUUAGAAGUCUAAAAUGAAGUUGUAUGCUGGAAUAUAGAAGUUUAAAUUUGUAUCAUUAUUGGUUGUCUUGAUUGCUUCUAGGACAGAUAUAGGGAAUGGAUUGCUGUAAAGUUUAUCUACCCAAAGCCUACAAUAGAUGAUUGGGUGGAUGAUGCAUAUGAAGCACACGAUUAAUGGCCAUUUGAGUUGCGCCGUGCAUGAGUCAUUACAAAAGUAGAUUAUUUACAGGUGUAAGUGGCAAUUUUUGAUGGUAGUAUUGCUGUGUUUGGGAUUAAUUUUGCUCAAUUGAGAUUGAUUGAUGCUUGAUCAAUUAGACCCUGUGUUUGCAUGCUCUACAACUGCUGUGUGCAAGGUAUUUUAGCUGUUGUCGGGUUGCUGCUGUUGGCUUGUUGCUGUCAGGUUGCAACUGCUACUGUCUGGGUGGUUGCGUUUCCAACACCUAUAGCAGUUGUAGAACAUUGUUGUGUUUGUUGUGGGCUGUCUGGUUGCGUUUGCUACUGCUCAUAUUGAGUGUUGAAUAGUUCGGCUUCGGGUUGGCUGCUGCUUCUAAUGUCGACUGCCCUGAAGAUGCUGAUGGCUGGUGUAGCUGUGUGCCGAGUGCUGCUGGCUGGUGUUGCCGUUCUGGUGGCUGGUGUAGCUGUUGAGCGCUGCUGGCUGAUGUAGCUUCCGAGAGCUGUUGUGCUGCUGCCUAUACAUGGUUGUGCAGCCGCUGACUAAUGCGAUCUUGUAGCUGCGUUUGCUGGCCAGCUUGAUGCUGCUCUAUUUUGAAAUUGUGUUGACGAAUACUUGGUCUAAUUUUGUAAUGAAGUCUAUUAGAUUGCCAUCUCGUGAUGUAUAGGCUAGGAAAUGGCUUUUAUCUUUUGAGGUGCUUUGGCUUUCCGAGAGUAUGAUGAGGGGCUUGAUUGUGCUAUGGCCCCUUUUGUUUUUGACACCAAGUUGUAUAGCUUCCGUAAUUUCCCGACUUUUUAUAAAAUUUACUACCGUUGAAAUUUGGUAAAAUGUUAUGUUUAUUAGCCACGCUUAUUUGUGUCGAAAAAAUGAAAGAAAACAAUGGACUAUGAUUUCAUUCAGCCACGCUUAUCAAGUAGGAAAGUUUUCAACACUUAUAAGCGUGGCUGAAGUAGCUACCAACCACGCUUACUAAGUGCGCCUAAAAAUUUACCAACACAAGUAGAGGCCACACUUAAUUAAG
This is a long non-coding RNA of Amaranthus tricolor (Joseph's coat), 2336 nucleotides long. RefSeq lists it as uncharacterized. Lineage: Eukaryota; Viridiplantae; Streptophyta; Magnoliopsida; Caryophyllales; Amaranthaceae. The transcript is spliced from 3 exons. The record is from RefSeq and is a predicted model, not a curated record.